GUGCCCUUUUAAGGCUGACGCAGUGCCUUAAGAGGCUAAUACAGAAGGGUAAAAUAAGUCUCCAUGAAACCCAGAGAAGAGACUGUAGAACUCCUCUUGGGAUCCUUUCUGGAGUCACAGCU
Camelus dromedarius (Arabian camel) is the source of this 122-nucleotide small nucleolar RNA. NCBI's taxonomy places the organism in Eukaryota, Metazoa, Chordata, Mammalia, Artiodactyla, Camelidae. The record is from Ensembl.